Molecule: transfer RNA, 87 nt
Filed under: Parcubacteria group bacterium CG1_02_40_25
Lineage: Bacteria
Also listed under: 2 other names
Description: tRNA-Leu
Rfam family: tRNA
About the family: Transfer RNA (tRNA) molecules are approximately 80 nucleotides in length. Their secondary structure includes four short double-helical elements and three loops (D, anti-codon, and T loops).
Source: RNAcentral
GCUGGGGUGGCGAAAUUGGCAGACGCGCUAGCUUCAGGGGCUAGUGGUAGCAAUACCAUGGGAGUUCAAAUCUCCCUCCCAGCACCC